Molecule: ribosomal RNA, 437 nt
Rfam family: Bacterial small subunit ribosomal RNA
ACGGGAGGCAGCAGUGGGGAAUAUUGCACAAUGGGCGCAAGCCUGAUGCAGCAACGCCGCGUGAGGGAAGACGGUCUUCGGAUUGUAAACCUUUGUCUUUGGUGAAGAAGAAAGUGACGGUAGCCAAGGAGGAAGCCACGGCUAACUACGUGCCAGCAGCCGCGGUAAUACGUAGGUGGCAAGCGUUGUCCGGAGUUACUGGGUGUAAAGGGAGCGCAGGCGGGACAGCAAGUUGGAUGUGAAAUACCGAGGCUUAACCACGGAGCUGCAUCCAAAACUGUUGUUCUUGAGUGAAGUAGAGGUAGGCGGAAUUCCUAGUGUAGCGGUGAAAUGCGUAGAUAUUAGGAAGAACACCGGUGGCGAAGGCGGCUUGCUGGACAGAGACUGACGCUGAGGCACGAAAGCGUGGGGAGCAAACAGGAUUAGAUACCCUGGUA